AUUGAACGCUGGCGGCAUGCCUUACACAUGCAAGUCGAACGGUAACGGGCCUUCGGGUGCCGACGAGUGGCGCGCGGGGGAGUAAUACAUCGGAACGUGCCCGAUCGUGGGGGAUAACGAGGCCAAAGCUGUGCUAAAACAGCAUACGAUUUAUGGAUGAAAGCGGGGGGGCGCAUGGGCCUGCGCGGUCGGAGCGGCCGAUGGCGGAUUAGGUAGUUGGUGUGGUAAAGGCUUACCAAGCCGACGAUCUGUAGCUGGUCUGAGAGGAUGAUCAGCCACACUGGAACUGAGACACGGCCCAGACUCCUACGGGAGGCAGCAGUGGGGAAUUUUGGACAAUGGGCGCAAGCCUGAUCCAGCCAUGCCGCGUGCGGGAUGAAGGCCUUCGGGUUGUAAACUGCUUUUGUACGGGACGAAAAGCAGUCUUUUAAUACAGGAGGGUCUUGACGGUACCGAAAGAAUAAGCACCGGCUAACUACGUG
RNAcentral lists this ribosomal RNA (482 nucleotides) under uncultured bacterium. RNAcentral's name for it is "partial 16S ribosomal RNA". It matches the Rfam family "Bacterial small subunit ribosomal RNA", at positions 30 to 507 of the family's 1533-position model. The record is from RNAcentral.